GAUGAAGAACGCAGCGAAAUGCGAUAAGUAAUGUGAAUUGCAGAAUUCAGUGAAUCAUCGAAUCUUUGAACAGACAUUGCGCCCGCCAGUAUUCUGGCGGGCAUGCCUGUUCGAGCGUCAUUACAACCCUCAGGCCCCCGGGCCUGGCGUUGGGGAUCGGCGGAAGCCCCCUGCGGGCACAACGCCGUCCCCCAAAUACAGUGGCGGUCCCGCCGCAGCUUCCAUUGCGUAGUAGCUAACACCUCGCAACUGGAGAGCGGCGCGGCCACGCCGUAAAACACCCAACUUCUGAAUGUUGACCUCGAAUCAGGUAGGAAUACCCGCUGAACUUAAGCAUAUCAAUAAGCGGAGGA
Molecule: unclassified non-coding RNA, 353 nt
Filed under: soil metagenome
Description: partial contains 5.8S ribosomal RNA, internal transcribed spacer 2, and large subunit ribosomal RNA
Rfam family: 5.8S ribosomal RNA (bases 1-120)
Source: RNAcentral